This 423-nucleotide ribosomal RNA is filed under the name Bacillota bacterium. Its description in RNAcentral is "Firmicutes bacterium partial 16S ribosomal RNA". It matches the Rfam family "Bacterial small subunit ribosomal RNA", at positions 355 to 776 of the family's 1533-position model. The record is from RNAcentral. Lineage: Bacteria; Bacillati; Bacillota.
UAGGGAAUAUUGGGCAAUGGACGCAAGUCUGACCCAGCCAUGCCGCGUGCAGGAUGAAGGCCUUCUGGGUUGUAAACUGCUUUUAUCUAGGAAGAAAAAACCCCUGCGGGGGGAACUGACGGUACUAGGUGAAUAAGCACCGGCUAACUCCGUGCCAGCAGCCGCGGUAAUACGGAGGGUGCAAGCGUUGUCCGGAUUUAUUGGGUUUAAAGGGUGCGUAGGCGGCUUUAUAAGUCCGUGGUGAAAGCCAACAGCUCAACUGUUGAACUGCCAUGGAUACUGUAAGGCUUGAGUACAGACGAGGUAGGCGGAAUGGAUGGUGUAACGGUGAAAUGCAUAGAUACCAUCCAGAACACCGAUUGCGUAGGCAGCUUACUAGGCUGUAACUGACGCUGAGGCACGAAAGCGUGGGGAGCGAACAGG